RNAcentral lists this ribosomal RNA (372 nucleotides) under uncultured organism. RNAcentral describes it as "bacterial SSU rRNA". It matches the Rfam family "Bacterial small subunit ribosomal RNA", at positions 526 to 896 of the family's 1533-position model. The record is from RNAcentral.
CGUAGGGGGCAAGCGUUGUCCGGAUUUAUUGGGCGUAAAGCGCGCGUAGGCGGCGCGGUAUGUCGUGCGUGAAAUCUCCCGGCUUAACUGGGAGGGGCCGUGCGAAACUGCCGGGCUUGAGGUCGGAAGGGGAAAGUGGAAUUCCGGGUGUAGUGGUGGAAUACGUAGAUAUCCGGAGGAACACCAGCGGCGAAGGCGGCUUUCUGGUCCGAUACUGACGCUGAGGUGCGAAAGCGUGGGGAGCGAUCCGGAUUAGAUACCCGGGUAGUCCACGCCGUAAACGAUGAGUACUAGGUGUCGGGGGUAUCGACCCCCUCGGUGCCGUCGCUAACGCAUUAAGUACUCCGCCUGGGGACUACGGCCGCAAGGCUA